GUGCUCGCUUCGGCAGCACAUACACUAAAAUUGAAACCAUAUAGAGAUUAGCACAGCCCCUUGUGCAAGAAUGACAUGCAAAUUCGUGAAGUACUCCAUAUUUUU
Molecule: small nuclear RNA, 105 nt
Filed under: Castor canadensis (American beaver)
Lineage: Eukaryota; Metazoa; Chordata; Mammalia; Rodentia; Castoridae
Source: RNAcentral